GAUGAACGCUAGCGGCAGGCCUAAUACAUGCAAGACGAACGGUAACUUUGGUAGCAAUAUUGAAGCAAGAGUGUCGUAAGGGUGCGUAACACGUAUGCAAUCUGCCCUCAACAGGAGGAUAGCUCCCCGAAAGGGGAAUUAAGCCUCCAUAGGAUCGUAAUGUGGCAUCACAUAGCGAUUAAACUACCAGGGGUUGAGGAUGAGCAUGCGCAUGAUUAGUUAGUUGGCGGGGUAACGGCCCACCAAGACGAUGAUCAUUAGGGGAACUGAGAGGUUGAUCCCCCACACUGGCACUGAGAUACGGGCCAGACUCCUACGGGAGGCAGCAGUAGGGAAUAUUGGACAAUGGGUGGCAAGCCUGAUCCAGCCAUGCCGCGUGCAGGAAG
Molecule: ribosomal RNA, 386 nt
Filed under: uncultured bacterium
Lineage: Bacteria
Description: bacterial SSU rRNA
Rfam family: Bacterial small subunit ribosomal RNA
Source: RNAcentral